UUUAUGGAGAGUUUGAUCCUGGCUCAGGAUGAACGCUGGCGGCGUGCCUAAUACAUGCAAGUCGAGCGAACGGACGAGAAGCUUGCUUCUCUGAUGUUAGCGGCGGACGGGUGAGUAACACGUGGAUAACCUACCUAUAAGACUGGGAUAACUUCGGGAAACCGGAGCUAAUACCGGAUAAUAUUUUGAACCGCAUGGUUCAAAAGUGAAAGACGGUCUUGCUGUCACUUAUAGAUGGAUCCGCGCUGCAUUAGCUAGUUGGUAAGGUAACGGCUUACCAAGGCAACGAUGCAUAGCCGACCUGAGAGGGUGAUCGGCCACACUGGAACUGAGACACGGUCCAGACUCCUACGGGAGCAGCAGGGAAUCUUCCGCAAUGGGCGAAAGCCUGACGGAGCAACGCCGCGUGAGUGAUGAAGGUCUUCGGAUCGUAAAACUCUGUUAUUAGGGAAGAACAUAUGUGUAAGUAACUGUGCACAUCUUGACGGUACCUAAUCAGAAAGCCACGGCUAACUACGUGCCAGCAGCCGCGGUAAUACGUAGGUGGCAAGCGUUAUCCGGAAUUAUUGGGCGUAAAGCGCGCGUAGGCGGUUUUAAGUCUGAUGUGAAAGCCCACGGCUCAACCGUGGAGGGUCAUUGGAAACUGGAAAACUUGAGUGCAGAAGAGGAAAGUGGAAUUCCAUGUGUAGCGGUGAAAUGCGCAGAGAUAUGGAGGAACACCAGUGGCGAAGGCGACUUUCUGGUCUGUAACUGACGCUGAUGUGCGAAAGCGUGGGGAUCAAACAGGAUUAGAUACCCUGGUAGUCCACGCCGUAAACGAUGAGUGCUAAGUGUUAGGGGUUUCCGCCCCUUAGUGCUGCAGCUAACGCAUUAAGCACUCCGCCUGGGGAGUACGACCGCAAGGUUGAAACUCAAAGGAAUUGACGGGGACCCGCACAAGCGGUGGAGCAUGUGGUUUAAUUCGAAGCAACGCGAAGAACCUUACCAAAUCUUGACAUCCUUUGACAACUCUAGAGAUAGAGCCUUCGGGGACAAAGUGACAGGUGGUGCAUGGUUGUCGUCAGCUCGUGUCGUGAGAUGUUGGGUUAAGUCCCGCAACGAGCGCAACCCUUAAGCUUAGUUGCCAUCAUUAAGUUGGGCACUCUAAGUUGACUGCCGGUGACAAACCGGAGGAAGGUGGGGAUGACGUCAAAUCAUCAUGCCCCUUAUGAUUUGGGCUACACACGUGCUACAAUGGACAAUACAAAGGGCAGCGAAACCGCGAGGUCAAGCAAAUCCCAUAAAGUUGUUCUCAGUUCGGAUUGUAGUCUGCAACUCGACUACAUGAAGCUGGAAUCGCUAGUAAUCGUAGAUCAGCAUGCUACGGUGAAUACGUUCCCGGGUCUUGUACACACCGCCCGUCACACCACGAGAGUUUGUAACACCCGAAGCCGGUGGAGUAACCUUUUAGGAGCUAGCCGUCGAAGGUGGGACAAAUGAUUGGGGUGAAGUCGUAACAAGGUAGCCGUAUCGGAAGGUGCGGCUGGAUCACCUCCUUUCU
RNAcentral lists this ribosomal RNA (1540 nucleotides) under Staphylococcus aureus. Its description in RNAcentral is "16S ribosomal RNA". It matches the Rfam family "Bacterial small subunit ribosomal RNA". Lineage: Bacteria; Bacillati; Bacillota; Bacilli; Caryophanales; Staphylococcaceae. The record is from RNAcentral.